Long non-coding RNA from Leopardus geoffroyi (Geoffroy's cat), 854 nucleotides. RefSeq lists it as uncharacterized. The record is from RefSeq and is a predicted model, not a curated record. The transcript is spliced from 2 exons. NCBI's taxonomy places the organism in Eukaryota, Metazoa, Chordata, Mammalia, Carnivora, Felidae.
GUUCUCUUCCCUGGGCCGGGGGAGUGAGCUAUAAUAAGGGAGCCUAAGAACACACUGGAAGCCCACAAGCUGGAACACACAGGUUAGCACCGCCUGGCUGACCUGACUCACAGACACGCUGCUUUGCAGAUCAGAAACUAAGUCUGAUGUACCCUCGGGUCCAAGCCUGCCCCCCACAUUUUCCACGAGGCCUUGCGGCUCGUGCGGGUGGAUCCCAUGUAGCAGCCUAUAUGGGAGACAGUGAGCGCUGUGAUUAUUACAAGGGGGCACGGGCUGUAGUCGUGCACAGCUUCCUGGUGGUUGACUCAGAGCCGUGGGACCCUGCAGUCAAGGAUUCUGUACCCCAAGAAUGCCUCCUCCUCGCACAUCCCAUCUCCUGCCGGCCCUUGACCGCCUGGAGGGCUCAUCUCUGGAACUCGGAGUCUGAUGAGGAGAGUGACUGAGCCCAGCAAGUGCUGGAGACCAAGAGCCCCUGCCUUCGUGAGCUCUGGCCUUUGCCCCUCCGCCUGCAGCAUCCAAACACAUUCUGACUCUGAAGCAGUGAGUGCGGGGCCCUCAGCCCUGUCCCACCAACCUCCAAAAGCCCCAGGCUGGGACCAGGACAGGAACCCCAGCUUCUCAGCAGCAUCAAGGCACUGUCUGUUCAAGAAAGUUGGGCCAUUUUCAGAAACUAAAGACCAAACUGAAGAACUCUGUAGGCUUCCUCCUCCUCUGCAUACCUGAACCUAAAAAACAAACGACAAGCAAACAAUGCUCUACAUUUGUAAAACUUGAAAUCGUAUUUAUUAUAUCAAAAUGAAAAGUUUAUAUUUCUUCAAACUGUGCAUGGCAUAAAAUCUUUCACAUUUUUUUCC